UACGAAGGGGACUAGCGUUGUUCGGAAUCACUGGGCGUAAAGCGCACGUAGGCGGAUGUGUCAGUCAGGGGUGAAAUCCCGGGGCUCAACCUCGGAACUGCCUUUGAUACAGCACGUCUCGAGUCCGGAAGAGGUGGGUGGAAUUCCUAGUGUAGAGGUGAAAUUCGUAGAUAUUCGCAAGAACACCAGUGGCGAAGGCGGCUCACUGGCCCAUUACUGACGCUGAGGCACGAAAGCGUGGGGAGCAAACAGG
RNAcentral lists this ribosomal RNA (253 nucleotides) under uncultured bacterium. Its description in RNAcentral is "partial 16S ribosomal RNA". It matches the Rfam family "Bacterial small subunit ribosomal RNA", at positions 524 to 776 of the family's 1533-position model. The record is from RNAcentral.